This 506-nucleotide ribosomal RNA is filed under the name uncultured Gammaproteobacteria bacterium. Its description in RNAcentral is "bacterial SSU rRNA". It matches the Rfam family "Bacterial small subunit ribosomal RNA", at positions 9 to 510 of the family's 1533-position model. Lineage: Bacteria; Pseudomonadati; Pseudomonadota; Gammaproteobacteria. The record is from RNAcentral.
GAGUUUGAUCCUGGCUCAGAUUGAACGCUGGCGGCAGGCCUAACACAUGCAAGUCGAGCGGAUGAGAGGAGCUUGCUCCUUGAUUCAGCGGCGGACGGGUGAGUAAUGCCUAGGAAUCUGCCUGAUAGUGGGGGACAACGUUUCGAAAGGAACGCUAAUACCGCAUACGUCCUACGGGAGAAAGCAGGGGACCUUCGGGCCUUGCGCUAUCAGAUGAGCCUAGGUCGGAUUAGCUAGUAGGUGAGGUAAUGGCUCACCUAGGCGACGAUCCGUAACUGGUCUGAGAGGAUGAUCAGUCACACUGGAACUGAGACACGGUCCAGACUCCUACGGGAGGCAGCAGUGGGGAAUAUUGGACAAUGGGCGAAAGCCUGAUCCAGCCAUGCCGCGUGUGUGAAGAAGGUCUUCGGAUUGUAAAGCACUUUAAGUUGGGAGGAAGGGCUGCAAGUUAAUACCUUGUAGUUUUGACGUUACCAACAGAAUAAGCACCGGCUAACUUCGUGCCA